This is an RNA transcript of Chlorocebus sabaeus (green monkey), 2838 nucleotides long. It is a transcript of the gene named endogenous retrovirus group K member 7 Env polyprotein-like, with no coding region annotated. The record is from RefSeq and is a predicted model, not a curated record. Lineage: Eukaryota; Metazoa; Chordata; Mammalia; Primates; Cercopithecidae.
CUAAGUCACGUGAGAACCUGAGGCCUCUAGGUGCCGGAACCUGACCUGAGCUGGGGCCUGUGCUUCCAGUGGGUGGUGGGGGGCCUGGUGUGCUGGCAUCAGGUAAGCCGACUGCCUCGGCAAAGGCUUAAGGACAAGAACUGGCUGGGGCAUCCGGAAGGCUUAGAUCUUGUGGCCAAGAGUUCAGACCGUGGCGAAGUGGAGAGUGACAUGCAGUUGGAUGGCGGUGACUGCGUGGGGAGCUGAAGGAGAUGUUGAAGACAUCCUGCUUUCAAUAAGCCAACCGGAUCCUCCUGUGGUCCCGCAACCCAGAUUCCAGUCUGGCAAGCAUUCUAGACCUGGUUGCUGAAGACUGACGGGGUCCAGGGUCUGCUGCCCCCACCGCCUUCACCACCUCAGAACCCAGGGUAACGCCGUCAGUCUCUGGACCAACCUCGCCGUGCCUAACAAGAGUUCCAGAAGUCACCCAUCUGAAAGGCACUGGCCCAUGACACUCUCCACUUCCAAUCUUAAAUCUUUUACUUCAUACCUUGUCUCAGAUCUCUCCUGGUACCCCUUCCCCACGCCCUUAGAUAAUCCAUCUCAAUUCCUCAUGCUAAUCGAGGAGCUAUGGCUGCAAGGCACUUUCCAGGAUUUCACACCUACACAAAUCUCCUUUUUCUCCUUUUGCCUUCUCUGCUUAUGGGAUAUUCUGAGUCCCCACCCCCAAUCACUGACAGCUGGGCCCCCUUCGUCAGCCUCACACACCACCUGUUAAGUCAGUCACAAUCUCCCCUCUCCUCUAACUGUUGGAUUUGUCUUUCUACGCACACCCAGUGAUUCACGGCUCUUCCGGCCGACCUACUUACGUGGACACAGACCAACAUGAGCUUACACAUUUUUUACUCGGCCAUACCAUUCUUGGCUGAUUCAUCCCUGAAGCCAGUUCAUAACCUGGAAACUCAACUGAACACCUUUCCUCCAAACUCAGCCCUCUCAGCAUGGUUUCAGGUAGGGCUGUUGCCCUCCUUCAUCUAAUAGUUUCUGGACUAACAUCCAUACAAACCAACACAACGUCAUCUAAACCACCAAUAUGGGGGUACCAUUUCUACUCAAACUUCCUUCAUAUCCCCACCCACCUUAUGUCUCAGCCGAACCUACCCUAAUCCAGCCCACGCCACAAUGGUGGGACAGGUCCCUCAGUCCCUAUGUGGUCUUAUUCUUACCAUUGCACUCCCUGUAGACUAUCAAUUCUACACCCUAAUUACAAAAUCAGGUCCACCUCUGCCUGGCAGAAGGUGUUAUGCUUUUCUGGCUCACUUACCAUCCACACAUCCCUGCACCUCACCACCGGAUCCUCUCUUCUUUCCUACCAUCCAAUUCCCAGCUUCCCCCCGUCAACUCUGCUCUCUAUGUCUCCAGUUUAAAGGUGCCCCCUGGAAAAAAAAUUUAACAAUUCCCUCACCUGCAACUGGUACCUUACAGCCACCACACCAGGGCAGCAAUGGCUAACAGUUGACAAAGACAAUUUCUCUCUCCAAAACCAAACAGCCUUCAUCAACUCCCCAGCCAAGGCUACCUAUCAGGCCCUUACAGGUGCCACUCUGACUGGCAGUUACUCAAUUUGGCAGAACGAAAACACCUUUUCAUGGCUACCUACCUUCACCUACAACUUCUGCCUGUCCACCCCGUCUCUUCUUUUUGUAUGAUACAAACUGAUAUCUUUGCCUACCAGGAAAAAGGAACUUGCACCCUGGUCUUUCAAGCUCCAACCAUCAACAUCCUACCCCCAAACAAAAGUAUUCUAAUUUCUUUAGAAGCCUCUAUCUCCUUUUCACCUAUAAGAAAUAAAUGGGCUCUACACCUCAUCACCCUGCUAACAGGAUUAGGCAUCACUGCUGCACUCGGCACUGGAAUAGCAGGCAUAACCUCCUCAAUCACCUCAUACCAAAUGCUAUUCACAACCCUUUCUAACACCCUAGAAGAUAUGCACACUUCCAUUAUCAGUCUCCAACAACAAUUAGACUUCCUCGUGGGAGUCAUCUUUCAAAACUGGAGAGCCCUGGACCUACUAACCGCUGAGAAAGGGGGUACCUGCAUAUACCUCCAGGAAGAAUGCUGUUUCUGUGUUAAUGAAUCUGGCAUUGUUCAUAUCGCAGUUCACAGGUUUCAUGACAGGGCUGCAGAGCUUUGACGUCGUCGCUUACCCCUGGUGGCAAGGAUCAUCCCUUCUAAGAUGGAUACCCUGGGUUGCCCCCUUCCUAGAACCCCUGAUCUUCCUCUUCCUGUUACUAAUGAUUGGGUCAUGCAUAUUUAACCUUGUAUCCCACUUCAUUUCCCAAAGGCUGAAUUGUUUUAUUCAGGCAAGCAUGCAAAAACACAUUGAUAAUAUCCUUCACCUUUGCUACGUCUAAUACCAGAGCCUACAAGGAAGCCAUUCGGAAGCUCCAAAACCCAGGCCCUAAUCACGGCGCCCCUAUCCAGCAGGAAGCAGCCAGAUGAUCAACGACGCCCUUUUUCCUUUUUAUACUAAAGUAAGAAAUAAGAAUGUUAGCCCAAGCUGCAUUAUUUUGCAGACCCCCACCAUUUUACAAACUGGUCAGAGUGGAAAAUUCCACCAGGGCCUGAGCUGUGAGAAACAUCCUGUCAGAGAGGUCCCAGGCCUAACCCCUGGCUGCACUAAAUUCCUUCAUUAGCAGCAGCCAAACACACCGCCCCCACCCCAUUUUCACAAAAAUCCCAGACCUCUCCUGCCCGGAACUAUAACUGGUCCAGCCUGUAAGUGGGAAGGGGGCUCUGGCACUAGCUGGUACCCCCUCUCCGCAGGUCAUUCUCCCAAUAAAUCUGUGUUGCCAUUGA